Long non-coding RNA from Leptonychotes weddellii (Weddell seal), 1154 nucleotides. RefSeq lists it as uncharacterized. NCBI's taxonomy places the organism in Eukaryota, Metazoa, Chordata, Mammalia, Carnivora, Phocidae. The record is from RefSeq and is a predicted model, not a curated record.
GGGGAGGCGUCUGGCAGCAGUGUACAGCAUAAUCUGGAAGCACGGAAGGAACCAGCUGGAGGCUUCUGCCGAAACCAGGCAGACACAAGGUUCACAGUGCUAGGAUGUUAAGGGGAAAAGUAGAAGUGGAAAGUGAGAGGUAGGAGAUAUUUUGAAGAAGGAACAGAGAUAAUCGAGUGAUUGUAUAUUUGGGGAGGAGAGAAAUGACCCAAAGUGACCGCGAUUUUGAGCUUGGGAGGCAGGGAGAAGAGGGUUCCCCCAGGUGGAGAGGGUGUGUCAUCUGGAGGGGCGGAGCUCCUUUCAGAGCCAUGUUUGUAAGGACAGUGGGAUCCCAACUGGGAACUGUCCAGGGGGCUGGAAAUCAGGACAGAGGAACAGCACAGAGGAACUAACCCAAAGGAUGAAAGCGAUACUACAGAUCUGAAGGGGAGCUAACAGAAAGGGAGAAAGAGAAACAGGGCCGGGGAACACCCACCUUGGGGAGGAGAAGCCGGUGGCCAGGCUGUGAAGGGAAUAUGCAGCGACCUGGCUGCAAACUUCCUGACUUCAGAGGCCAGGCUGGAGCCCAAGAAGGCUUUGCGGACCCGUGGCUGUGCUCCUCGUGUGAGCCAAGUGUAGUCCCUGGCGGUGACGCCCGCAGCUCGGCUCUGCCCGCGUUCCGGCGGCGGGGGGUGCGGACCAGCUGAGCAGGACCAGCGCGGCUCCAAGGCCAGAUUGCCGUCUCUGGUCAGACCCCAGCAGCAGCGCCCCAUGUCGCCAGGGCUCGCGAACCACCUCGGCUGGGGUGUGCUGGCCUGCUCUGCUCCUGUGCUUCGGGUCUUUAUUCCGCUUUGAAUGGGUUUCUUGAAAAACAAACUCUUUGACGUAAAAAAAAAAACACCAAACAGUUUAUGGUCUUUAGAAUGUUGAUUUGAAAUAAAGCGAAUAUUGGUGACAUGCUCUGCAGAUAGUUACAUAAAGCUGUGAAAGAGCCACAAAUAAUUUACUCUAACUGCAGCACUAAUUAUUGUCCUGUACAAAGCAGCCGCCGUUAGGAGUCGUUUCUUUGAGUGGUAUCAAUUCCCCAGGAGAUAAGCAUUAUAAAAAUGAUGAAAAGAAUUUCAUAUGAUUUUUGUCAUUAAGAUAAAAUCUCAAUAAACCAGCAUCUAAUCUUA